CACCGCCGCGGUAAUACGGAGGGUGCAAGCGUUAAUCGGAAUUACUGGGCGUAAAGCGCACGCAGGCGGUCUGACAAGUCAGAUGUGAAAUCCCCGGGCUUAACCUGGGAACUGCAUUUGAAACUGUCAGGCUGGAGUCUUGUAGAGGGGGGUAGAAUUCCAGGUGUAGCGGUGAAAUGCGUAGAGAUCUGGAGGAAUACCGGUGGCGAAGGCGGCCCCCUGGACAAAGACUGACGCUCAGGUGCGAAAGCGUGGGGAGCAAACAGGAUUAGAUACCCCAGUAGUCCCUGUCUCUUAUACA
Molecule: ribosomal RNA, 301 nt
Filed under: uncultured bacterium
Lineage: Bacteria
Description: partial 16S ribosomal RNA
Rfam family: Bacterial small subunit ribosomal RNA
Source: RNAcentral